CGCCCAUCUCGGCCUCCCAAAGUGCUGGGAUUACAGGCUUGAGCCACCGCGCCCGGCCUUGCAUUGACAUUUUCUUACCCAGUACCUGUUA
This 91-nucleotide microRNA precursor is filed under the name Chlorocebus sabaeus (green monkey). Its description in RNAcentral is "miRNA (ENSCSAG00000022499.1)". Lineage: Eukaryota; Metazoa; Chordata; Mammalia; Primates; Cercopithecidae. The record is from RNAcentral.